RNAcentral lists this transfer RNA (54 nucleotides) under Schistocephalus solidus. It matches the Rfam family "tRNA", at positions 1 to 53 of the family's 71-position model. From Rfam's summary of the family: Transfer RNA (tRNA) molecules are approximately 80 nucleotides in length. Their secondary structure includes four short double-helical elements and three loops (D, anti-codon, and T loops). Lineage: Eukaryota; Metazoa; Platyhelminthes; Cestoda; Diphyllobothriidea; Diphyllobothriidae. The record is from Rfam by way of RNAcentral.
GAACCCGUGGCUCAAUGGUAGAGCGUUUGACUCAAAUACCAAAGGUCGCGGGUU